This 868-nucleotide long non-coding RNA is filed under the name Zea mays. RNAcentral describes it as "long non-coding RNA NONZMAT001772". Lineage: Eukaryota; Viridiplantae; Streptophyta; Magnoliopsida; Poales; Poaceae. The record is from RNAcentral.
GCAUAAUGUUUCGUGCGCAUUUAUUGAUAGAGAGAUGAUAAAAAAAUCACGUUCAAAGGGAGUUUCAUGCAAUAAAACUCUUCUGCACCGUUAUACAGUAUGUUAAAAAUUGGGACAUAAAACCCCCACCACCACUUGAGGCUAACCUUAAAAAUGACAUGAAUCCAAUACUUUAAACAAACAGUGGUUCCUCAUAUGAACAUUAUCCUUUUUAACUGACAGUGCAAGCCUAAACAACCGCAUCCUCUAAAUACCGUUUUGAUAGCUUUGGCUUUCCCUGACCUUUGAAUGUUGAAACCACAGCUUGCUAAAUUGAAAAUUAUAUAUAAAAAAACAUUCUAUCGUAUUCGAACAUCUCACGCUGAAAAUGCUCAUACUCAGCACAACGUGCGCCACUAGCAAAAUAAUGGGCAACAUCAAUCAAUUAGUCAUCUAACCGGGAUAACUCUAAGCAAAUGAACAAAUUGGAUCAUACUCAAGAUAUCAACCAAACAGUUUUGGGGAAUAGCAACAAGCCUGGUUGCCGCCGCAUCCUCGGUGUCUAGAUCACAGGAACCAUUCUGGUUUGUGCCCCAAUACAACCAGCCAACUUGGUUCAUUCAUCAUGUCCUAAGCAAUCUAUGCAACACAAUUACAGGCCUCAAAAAGCGGCAUUCUCCCUUGUGUCGACCAGCUUCAGCCACGACCACGGCCCCCACCUGCACUAACAAGUAACGCGUCCCACAGAUUGGUGGUAUCCCUUGAAACUAUGGGGUGGGACUGUAAAUAUAUGUAAGUGGUUACGAAGUGUGUACCUUUGUUACCACCUUUGGCACCAACUCCACCCCUUCCACGGCCACCACUGCCUCUACCUCCAUCAUCUUGGCCA